This 500-nucleotide ribosomal RNA is filed under the name uncultured bacterium. Its description in RNAcentral is "partial 16S ribosomal RNA". It matches the Rfam family "Bacterial small subunit ribosomal RNA", at positions 30 to 523 of the family's 1533-position model. The record is from RNAcentral.
AUUGAACGCUGGCGGCAUGCCUUACACAUGCAAGUCGAACGGCAUCACGGACUUCGGUCUGGUGGCGAGUGGCGAACGGGUGAGUAAUACAUUGGAACGUGCCCAGUAAUGGGGGAUACCGCAGCGAAAGUUGUGCUUAUACCGCAUACGCUCUGAGGAGGAAAGUGGGGGAUCGCACGACCUCAUGAUAUUGGAGCGGCCGAAGGCUGAUUAGCUAGUUGGUGAGGUAAAGGAGCACAAAGGCGACGAUCAGUAGCUGGUCUGAGAGGACGACCAGCCACACUGUGACUGAGACACGGCCCAGACUACUACGGGAGGCAGCAGUGGGGAAUUUUGGACAAUGGGCGAAAGCCUGAUCCAGCCAUGCCGCGUGUCUGAAGAAGGCCUUCGGGUUGUAAAGGACUUUUGUCAGGGAGGAAAUCCCUAGUGCUAAUAACACUGGGGGAUGACAGUACCUGAAGAAUAAGCACCGGCUAACUACGUGCCAGCCGCCGCAGUAA